GCGGGGGUGCCCGAGCAAGGUCAAAGGGGUCGGGCUCAGGACCAUAUGGUGAGACCCCCGAUGGUGUAGGCCUGCGUGGGUUCAAAUCCCACCCCCCGCA
Molecule: transfer RNA, 100 nt
Organism: Sulfolobus acidocaldarius DSM 639
Lineage: Archaea; Thermoproteati; Thermoproteota; Thermoprotei; Sulfolobales; Sulfolobaceae
Rfam family: tRNA
About the family: Transfer RNA (tRNA) molecules are approximately 80 nucleotides in length. Their secondary structure includes four short double-helical elements and three loops (D, anti-codon, and T loops). Further hydrogen bonds mediate the characteristic L-shaped molecular structure. tRNAs have two regions of fundamental functional importance: the anti-codon, which is responsible for specific mRNA codon recognition, and the 3' end, to which the tRNAs corresponding amino acid is attached (by aminoacyl-tRNA synthetases). tRNAs cope with the degeneracy of the genetic code in two manners: having more than one tRNA (with a specific anti-codon) for a particular amino acid; and 'wobble' base-pairing, i.e. permitting non-standard base-pairing at the 3rd anti-codon position.
Source: Rfam